RNAcentral lists this non-coding RNA (376 nucleotides) under Phaseolus vulgaris (common bean). RNAcentral's name for it is "rRNA LSU_rRNA_eukarya". It matches the Rfam family "Eukaryotic large subunit ribosomal RNA", at positions 1456 to 1888 of the family's 3401-position model. Lineage: Eukaryota; Viridiplantae; Streptophyta; Magnoliopsida; Fabales; Fabaceae. The record is from Rfam by way of RNAcentral.
GGUAAUAGCAAAUAUUCAAAUGAGAACUUUGAAGGCCGAAGAUGGGAAAGGUUCCAUGUGAACAGCACUUACACAUGGGUUAAUCGAUCCUAAGGGACGGGGGAAGCCCGUCUGAUAGCGCUCUGAGCGCGUACUACGAAAGGGAAUCAGAGACGUCGGCUGGGGCCCCGGAAAGAGUUAUCUUUUCUGUUUAACAGCCAGCCCACCCUGGAAAUGGCUCAGUCGGAGGUAGGUUCCAGCGGCUGGAAGAGCACCGCACGUCGCGUGGUGUCCGGUGCACCCCCGGCGGCCCUUGAAAAUCCGAAGGACCGAAUGCCUCCCACACUCGGUCGUACUCAUAACCGCAUCAGGUCUCUAAGGUGAACAACCUCUGGUU